Equus caballus (horse) is the source of this 46-nucleotide non-coding RNA. NCBI's taxonomy places the organism in Eukaryota, Metazoa, Chordata, Mammalia, Perissodactyla, Equidae. The record is from Rfam.
UCCGUCACCUGACACGGCCAAACCAGGAACCGCCGCGGCCCGGCGG